Molecule: non-coding RNA, 21 nt
Filed under: Arabidopsis thaliana (thale cress)
Lineage: Eukaryota; Viridiplantae; Streptophyta; Magnoliopsida; Brassicales; Brassicaceae
Source: RNAcentral
UUCAAAGUGAUGCAUAGAUUC